AGCGAACGCUAGCGGCGGGCUUAACACAUGCAAGUCGAGCGGAGGGGCAACCCUUAGCGGCGGACGGGUGAGUAACACGUAGGUAACGUAUCCUCUGGUGGGGAAUAACCGUGGGAAACCAUGGCUAAUACCGCAUAUCGUAUGAAAGUAUGAAAGCCUUCGGGCGCCAGUUGAGCGGCCUGCGGCCCAUUAGUUAGUUGGCGGGGUAACGGCCCACCAAGACGAUGAUGGGUAGCUGGUCUGAGAGGAUGAUCAGCCACACUGGAACUGAGACACGGUCCAGACUCCUACGGGAGGCAGCAGUGGGGAAUAUUGCGCAAUGGGCGAAAGCCUGACGCAGCCACGCCGCGUGAGUGAUGAAGGCCU
This 366-nucleotide ribosomal RNA is filed under the name uncultured bacterium. Its description in RNAcentral is "bacterial SSU rRNA". It matches the Rfam family "Bacterial small subunit ribosomal RNA", at positions 29 to 417 of the family's 1533-position model. The record is from RNAcentral.